CCUUGACAUACUAAGAACGUUUCCAGAGAUGGAUUGGUGCCUUCGGGAACUUAGAUACAGGUGCUGCAUGGCUGUCGUCAGCUCGUGUCGUGAGAUGUUGGGUUAAGUCCCGNAACGAGCGCAACCUUUUCCUAUUUGCCAGCGGGUCAUGCCGGGAACUUUAAGGAUACUGCCAGUGACAAACUGGAGGAAGGCGGGGACGACGUCAAGUCAUCAUGGCCCUUACGGCCAGGGCUACACACGUGCUACAAUGGUCGGUACAAAGGGUUGCUACCUCGCGAGAGGAUGCUAAUCUCAAAAAGCCGAUCGUAGUCCGGAUCGCAGUCUGCAACUCGACUGCGUGAAGUCGGAAUCGCUAGUAAUCGCGGAUCAGAAUGCCGCGGUGAAUACGUUCCCGGGCCUUGUACACACCGCCCGUCACACCAUGGGAGUUUGUUGCACCAGAAGUAGGUAGUCUAACCGCAAGGAGGACGCUUACCACGGUGUGGCCGAUGACUGGGGUGAAGUCGUAACAAGGUAGGCGUAGAUGA
This 530-nucleotide ribosomal RNA is filed under the name uncultured bacterium. Its description in RNAcentral is "bacterial SSU rRNA". It matches the Rfam family "Bacterial small subunit ribosomal RNA", at positions 979 to 1509 of the family's 1533-position model. The record is from RNAcentral.